GUAGGGAAUAUUGGGCAAUGGAUGCAAGUCUGACCCAGCCAUCCCGCGUGCAGGAAGAAGGCCUUCGGGUUGUAAACUGCUUUUGUACGGAACGAAAAGGCUCUGGUUAAUACCUGGGGCUCAUGACGGUACCGUAAGAAUAAGCACCGGCUAACUACGUGCCAGCAGCCGCGGUAAUACGUAGGGUGCAAGCGUUAAUCGGAAUUACUGGGCGUAAAGCGUGCGCAGGCGGUUUUGUAAGACAGACGUGAAAUCCCCGGGCUCAACCUGGGAAUGGCGUUUGUGACUGCAAAGCUGGAGUGCGGCAGAGGGGGAUGGAAUUCCGCGUGUAGCAGUGAAAUGCGUAGAUAUGCGGAGGAACACCGAUGGCGAAGGCAAUCCCCUGGGCCUGCACUGACGCUCAUGCACGAAAGCGUGGGGAGCAAACAGGAUUAGAUACCCGGGUAGUCC
This 450-nucleotide ribosomal RNA is filed under the name uncultured bacterium. RNAcentral describes it as "partial 16S ribosomal RNA". It matches the Rfam family "Bacterial small subunit ribosomal RNA", at positions 354 to 796 of the family's 1533-position model. The record is from RNAcentral.